Molecule: long non-coding RNA, 2851 nt
Organism: Oncorhynchus tshawytscha (Chinook salmon)
Lineage: Eukaryota; Metazoa; Chordata; Actinopteri; Salmoniformes; Salmonidae
Exons: 4
Source: RefSeq, a predicted model, not a curated record
UAUACAGUACACCAUCAUCUAAUAUAUGUGGCAGCGUAACACCGUUUCUCUCCGUAUCCAGCCCAGGUGCGUGUGCUGGUCAGUGUGAGCCCAGUCAAUGAACAUGAUCCAGUGUUUCAGACUUUGUUCUUCAGUGUCCCAGAGGGCACCAGGCCUGCUACGGCAGUGGGGACGGUGGUGGCCAGAGACACAGACUGGCCCUUUGACAACAUCCGCUACUCAAUCACUACAGGAGACACCAUGUUCACUAUUGACCCUGAGGGAGGUGAUGCUACAGCUGAGCACACAUGGAUCAGCUUAAGAUUCUUAGUUAACAUUUAGCAUCCAUAAAUAUGUUUCAUCUCUCUCUCCAGGGGAUCUGUAUCUUGGCGGAGAGCUGGACUUUGAGGAGCAGCAGGUGUAUGUAGUGGGGGUUCAGGCUGAGGAUUAUGAGCAGGAUAUGGACCGUACCAACCGCAAGAGAAGAAGUGGACAUCACCGUACAAGUGGAGGUGAGGAAUGGACAGAGAGCUAAAGCACCAUUGUACAUGUAUGUAGUACAGGAUAACAGAGUUGAUCCAUUAUUUAUCCAUAUAAUACCAUAGAUUAAAAAUGGUUUUGGAUGUAAAUUGUGAAAACUAAUGAUUACUGAGUAUCCAUUCCAUCCUCUCUGUCAGAAUGUGAAUGAUAAUGCUCCAGUGUGUGACCCAAUCGUCUAUGAGUCCACCAUCUUCUCCACCUUCUCUAAUAAACUCCCCAUCCUCUCACUCAGCUGUGCUGAUGCAGACAGCGACAGACUAACAGCUACCAUCACUAACGGUACACAGUGUGUGUGUAACUGAGUAUAUGUUUCAGUUUACACCAAAAUUCCCCACCACACUCUCAGGCUAACUAAAGAUUUGUUAAAAGUAUGUUUGCAUAUCUGAGCACGUGUUAUUUAAUUCACGACAGGUGCUGCAGUGGACCGGUUUCUGAUGACCGGGUUGAGUCUUGUCUCCAAAAAUGUGUUCUCCUACGUGGUGGAUAGGGUUUAUGACCGCACCAUGUUUGAAGUCACCAUCUCUGUGUCGGAUGGCAGGCAUCACACUGAGGCUGUGGCCUUCAUCUACGUAGUUCCCUGGACCACUACUGUUCCUACUACUACUACUACUACUACCACCAAUACAGUAAGAUCAGCCUUGUAGAGACAUGGUACACACCACUAUAACACAGCUACUGCAUAUGAAGGAAAACCUUUUACAACAGGAGGCCCAUAAGAGACUGUAUCAUAUCUUUGCUGCCCCUCUAGGCUAAACCUCCACAGGUGGUCACAGUGAUGUCAGACUACUGGGAUCCAGAGCCUUGGUUUGUUGCUGUGGUGACUGUUACCGGCGUCCUGCUCCUGCUGGUCACAAGUCUGCUCAUCUGGGCCAUUCUGAGCCGGUGGUCCCCCCCGCACACACUGACCACCUAAAAAUAAGUCUGAUCAGAUGAUGUCGAGUAAGGUUGCAUAACUCUGGUCCUUGACAACCUCUGUUCAGUUAAUCCGCUCACUGUAGAGUUUACAAGAUCUGCUCUCCCAUGUACGCAGCAGGGCUUUCAGCAGGGGUUAGGUUAUUGUAACAGUCCAUAAUAGGAAUUUUAUGUUUAUGCCUGCAGCGUCUAUGGUUGGGGUCCAAAAGAUGAGCCUGAACCUCCAUCAAAUAAGACGGAAGAGAUCGGCAAAAUGAACACAGAAGUGAGUCAAAAUGGGGCCAGUGAAAAUGACCAGGCAAGUUGGAUCAAUGGUUUCCAAUUGCAUCCUGCUGAGAAUAAAUAUGUGAAACAGCAUGGGUUUACAUUUGAAUGUGUUUCUCCAAGGCCUCACUAGAUGGCACCCUCAGUCUGUCUAAAGUCAGCAUACAAGACGACCUGAUGAGGUUUGAUGGGAAGGCACAAGAUCCAGUUUCAGGGCGCAGUUACCUGUUCAACUCUUCCACUGGUGAACGGCGUUGGUUGUAGGGGACGUCCAGUCUUACCAUCAACGACCUGCACUGAUUUAAGUGCUGUUUAUACCAUCUGGAGCUGAAGAGGAUUCAUAUGAUGUGGAUUCAUAGUAUGUGGAUUCAUAGUAGGUGCGCAAUCAGGCAUUUUAGCAUAAUUGUGAUUUCAAUUACAGGUCGAUUUGAAGUUUGUAAGAGUGAUAUUUUAAAAGGUCCUAUUUAAUACAUAAUCAUGCUGACCUGCUGUGUUGGAGGCUACUCCUUAAUUACUAUUCCUGUGUGUACUCAUGUAGUUCAGCAUCAACAACAGUAUACCUUAUAUAUACACACAGAAGUAUGUGGACACCCCUUCAAAUGAGUAAAUGUGGCCAUUUCAGCCACACCCGUUGCUGAUUGGUGUAUAAAAUCUAGCAAACAGCCAUGCAAUGUCCAUGGACAAAGAUUGGCAGUAGCAUGGCAUUACUGAAGAGCUAAGUGACUUUUAAUGUGGCACUGUCAUAGGAUGCCACCUUUCCAACAAGUCAGUUCAUCAAAUGUUUCCCCUGCUAGAGCUGCUGUAAGUGCUGUUAUUGUAAAGUGGAAAUGUCUAGGAGCAACAACGGCUCAGCCGCAAAGUGGUAGACCACACAAGCUCACAGAACAGGACCGCUGAAGCACGUAUAAAUAGUCAAUCCUCGGUUGCAACAUUCAUUACUCAGUUCCAAACGGCCUCUGGAAGCAACAUCAGCACAAUAACUGUUUGUCGGGAGCUUCAUGAAAUGAGUUUCCAUGGCCAAGCAGUCACACAAAAGUCUAAAAUUACCAUGCAUAAUGCCAAGCAUCGACUGGAGUGGUGUAAAGCUCACCACAUUUAGACUCUGGAGCAGUGGAAACACAUUCUCUGGAGUGACGAUUCACUCUUCACCAUCUGG